GACGAACGCUGGCGGCGUGCUUAACACAUGCAAGUCGAACGAUGAAGCCUUCGGGUGGAUUAGUGGCGAACGGGUGAGUAACACGUGGGCAAUCUGCCCUGUACUUUGGGAUAAGCCUUGGAAACGGGGUCUAAUACCGGAUAUCACUUCUGACCGCAUGGUUGGUUGUUGAAAGUUCUGGCGGUACAGGAUGAGCCCGCGGCCUAUCAGCUUGUUGGUGGGGUAAUGGCCUACCAAGGCGACGACGGGUAGCCGGCCUGAGAGGGUGACCGGCCACACUGGGACUGAGACACGGCCCAGACUCCUACGGGAGGCAGCAGUGGGGAAUAUUGCACAAUGGGCGAAAGCCUGAUGCAGCGACGCCGCGUGAGGGAUGACGGCCUCGG
This 386-nucleotide ribosomal RNA is filed under the name uncultured bacterium. RNAcentral's name for it is "bacterial SSU rRNA". It matches the Rfam family "Bacterial small subunit ribosomal RNA", at positions 28 to 420 of the family's 1533-position model. The record is from RNAcentral.